GUGGGGAAUUUUGGACAAUGGGGGCAACCCUGAUCCAGCCAUUCCGCGUGAGUGAAGAAGGCCUUCGGGUUGUAAAGCUCUUUCGUCAGGAACGAAACGGCGGGCUCUAACAUAGCCUGUUAAUGACGGUACCUGAAGAAGAAGCACCGGCUAACUACGUGCCAGCAGCCGCGGUAAUACGUAGGGUGCGAGCGUUAAUCGGAAUUACUGGGCGUAAAGCGUGCGCAGGCGGAUUGUUAAGCAAGACGUGAAAUCCCCGGGCUUAACCUGGGAAUGGCGUUUUGAACUGGCAGUCUAGAGUGCGUCAGAGGGGGGUGGAAUUCCACGUGUAGCAGUGAAAUGCGUAGAGAUGUGGAGGAACACCGAUGGCGAAGGCAGCCCCCUGGGAUGACACUGACGCUCAUGUACGAAAGCGUGGGUAGCAAACAGGAUUAGAUACCCUUGUAGUCC
Molecule: ribosomal RNA, 450 nt
Filed under: uncultured bacterium
Lineage: Bacteria
Description: partial 16S ribosomal RNA
Rfam family: Bacterial small subunit ribosomal RNA
Source: RNAcentral